Molecule: ribosomal RNA, 775 nt
Filed under: uncultured Neocallimastigales
Lineage: Eukaryota; Fungi; Neocallimastigomycota; Neocallimastigomycetes; Neocallimastigales
Description: partial large subunit ribosomal RNA
Rfam family: Eukaryotic large subunit ribosomal RNA
Source: RNAcentral
UCAGACGAUGCGUCAUGCAUAUCAAUAAGCGGAGGAAAAGAAACUAACAAGGAUUCCCUUAGUAACGGCGAGUGAAGCGGGAAGAGCUCAAAUUUGAAAUCUUCAAGGUUUUACCUUGACGAAUUGUAGUUUAAAGAAGUGUUUUCUGUUGAAGUUUUGGUAAAAGUUCUUUGGAAUAGGACAUCACUAGAGGGUGAGAAUCCCGUAUUUGACCAUUAUUUUCAGCUGUGUGAUACACUUUCAAAGAGUCGGAUUGUUUGGGAAUGCAGUCCAAAAUGGGUGGUAAAUUUCAUCUAAAGCUAAAUAUUGGCGAGAGACCGAUAGCGAACAAGUACCGUGAGGGAAAGAUGAAAAGAACUUUGAAAAGAGAGUUAAACAGUACGUGAAAUUGUCAAAAGGGAAGCGUUUGACACCAGUGUUGUUUUCUCGAAAAUCAAUUAAAAAGAGUUGGAUUUUGUGUUGUAUUGACCUUAACAGCUUGCUUCACUCUUUUCCUGCUUUUUUUAAUGCACUUUUCGUUUAACAAGUCAACAUCAGUUUCUUUUGUUGUAAAAGGGUCAUUGGAAGGUGGCUUUCUCUUCGGAGAAAGUGUUUAUAGCCUUUGAUCUCUGCAAUCGGAGAGACUGAAGUCUGCAGCGUAGAUCCUUCGGGGUUAGAUACAUUUGUGCUAAGCUACAGCUUUUCAUAGACAACUUGUUGACUAUGUUUAGUCUUGUAACUUACCCGCUUAUGCUAUUUUACCUACGCUUAGGAUGUUGAUAUGCAUGACUGAUAU